This is an RNA transcript of Carcharodon carcharias (great white shark), 6197 nucleotides long. It is a transcript of the gene named patched domain containing 1, with no coding region annotated. Lineage: Eukaryota; Metazoa; Chordata; Chondrichthyes; Lamniformes; Lamnidae. The record is from RefSeq and is a predicted model, not a curated record. The transcript has 5 exons.
CGCUCUCCCCGUCAGUCGAGGUGGGGGGGAGGGAGCGGGACCCGGGGGCCGGCCCGGGCUGUCCCGCCUCCCCGUCCCGUUCCCCGCCCUGCCGACAGCGCCGCCUUCCCGGGAGCCGGGCCUGCAGCCGAGGCCGAGCCGAGUGAGGGAGGUGGAUGGCGGGAGGCUCGGACUCGGAGUCCAGGCCGGGCUCCGGGCUCUGAGGCCCGGCUCUGGCUGGCGGGCCUGCCCGGGCCCUGGCACCAUGCUCCGGCAGCUGUUGCACCGGGGCCUCCGGAGCGGCUUCUACCGCCUGGGCUUCCUGAUCGGGAACCACCCGGUGUUGUUCGCCUCAGCCCCCGUGCUCCUGUCCAUCCUGCUGGGGGCGAGUUUCAGUCGGUACCGGCUCCAGGACGAUAUGGAAUAUCUGUUCGCACCGAGACACAGUCUGGCCAAGAUCGAGCGGAGUCUGGUCAACAGCCUCUUCCCCGUCAACCAGUCCAAACAGCGGCUUUACUCUCACCUGCAGAGCCCGGGGCCCUAUGGCCGGAUCCUCAUCACCCGCACCGGCUCCGGGAACCUACUGGAACCGCAACAAACCCGCCUCAUCCUGCAGUUGCACUCAACUGUAACACGGAUUCAGGUGCCAAUGUUGGGCUUCAACUACUCAUUUGCCCACAUGUGUAUUCUAAAGGAUAAUAAGAUGUGCGCCCUGGAUGAUAUUGUGUAUGUGCUGGAGGAACUGAGGGCUGCAUGGACUAUGAACCACACAGGGAUCGUCAUCAAUUACCCAAAUACCUACCUUAAAGAUGGCCAGGAGGUGUUCAUUGGGCACCAGCUCGGAGGUGUUACUCUGCAGAAUAAGAAUCGGGUGAAAUCUGCUCGAGCGAUGCAGAUCACUUAUUUUUUGCAAACCCGCAACUCCUUAAAUGAUUUGGUGGCAGAGAAAUGGGAGUCGACUUUCUGCAAAACCAUUGAGAAUUUCCAAAAAUCUCACAAGGAACUGAAGCUCUAUCCGUUUACAUCUUCAUCACUGAAGGAGGAUUUUCAGAAGAGCAGCCAGGUUUCGGAGUGGUACCUGGUGACCAGCCUGCUAGUGGUUUGGGUACUGGCCAUGCUGUGCUGUUCCAUGCAAGACUGUGUACGCAGCAAGCCCUGGCUUGGACUCCUGGGCUUAGUGACAAUGGCUCUGGCCACCCUCACAUCAGCAGGGAUCAUCAAUUUGAUGGGAGGGAAGUACAACUCUACCUUCCUGGGAAUUCCCUUCAUUAUUUUAGGGCAUGGACUCUAUGGCAUGUUUGAAAUGCUUUCAUCGUGGAGGGAGACUGUGGAGGAUCAGCAUGUGAAAGAGAGGAUUGCCAAUGUGUAUGCUGACACCAUGCUGCCCAUUACAUUCACCACUGCUAUGUACAUGGUGACAUUUGGCAUUGGUGCCAGUCCCUUCACCAACAUAGAAGCAGUGAAGGAGUUCUGUGUUAACACGUGCAUAUCUGUGCUUUUCAACUACCUCUACCUGAUGGCAUUCUAUGGCUCCAAUCUGGUCUUCACUGGUUACUUGGAAAAUAAUUACCAGCACAGUCUCUUUUGCAGAAAAGUGCCCAAACCAGAUGAUCUACAAGCUAAACCCGCCUGGUACAGGUUUAUCAUGAUGUCCAAAUUUAGUGAGGAGGCAGCAGGUCCCAGUGACACAAAUCCCUAUGAAAGUCAAUUCCUGCUUUGGUUUCUCAAGCAGUAUUAUUGCGAUUGGAUUACAAACACUUAUGUCAAGCCUUUUGUAGUUCUGUUUUAUCUCGUUUAUAUCUCCUUUGCCUUAAUGGGCUACCUGCAGAUCAGUGAAGGCUUGGACCUCAGUAACGUGGUGGCGACUGAGUCUCGUACUGUCUCAUACAGCACCGUGCAGCAGAGAUACUUCAGCAGCUAUAGUCCUGUCAUUGGCUUUUAUAUUUACGAACCGAUAGAGUAUUGGAAUGCCAGCGUUCAGGAGGAUUUGUUGGAAAUCACUGGGGGCUUUGUCAGAAUAUCUUGGUUCGAAACAUAUUUGAAUUACCUUAAAAAAUUGAAUGUUACCACUCCAGUGUCCAGAAACUACUUCCUAGAAACUCUACGGAAUUCCUUCCUAAAGACUCCCCAGUAUUCCCAAUUCUCAGAUGAUAUCAUACUGGUGAGGAAAACCAACGAUGAGCUAGAGGUGGUCGCCUCACGCAUGUACCUGGUGGCCAAGACGGCAGAGAACACCAGAGAAGAGAUUUAUGAUCUGUUGGAGACCCUGAGGAAACUGUCCCUGACCUACAAAGUGAAGUUUAUGAUUUUCAACCCGUCCUUUAUUUAUAUGGAUCGGUAUGCUUCAUCAGUGGGAGCGCCUUUGCAGAACUCGUGUAUCAGUGCACUGUUUGUUCUCUUCUUCUCUGGCUUCCUGGUGGUGAACUCUCUGCUGAAUGUCUGGCUCAUUCUCACUGUGGCCUCAGUGGAGUUUGGAGUUAUUGGCUUCAUGACCCUGUGGGAUGUUGAACUGGACUGUAUCUCUGUCCUCUGCUUAAUUUAUGGGAUAAACUAUACCAUCGACAACUGUGCACCAUUCAUAUCUACGUUUGUCCUGGGCAAAGACCUGACAAGGACGAAGUGGGUUAAAAAUGCUUUGGAACUGCAUGGAGUGGCUAUUUUGCAGAGCAACUUUUGUUACAUGGUCGGUAUAAUCCCCCUUAGUUCGGUGCCUUCAAACCUGAUCUGCACACUCUUCAGGUGUCUGUUUCUAAUUGCGCUUUUCACCUUCCUCCACUGCUUUGCCAUUCUACCUGUGAUCCUGACCUUUGUGCCACCUUCCAAAAAGCGGGCAGAAAGGAAAAGCCCCGACAGCAACAACGAGAUUGAGUGCAUGGAGAUGGUGGACCUGGAUGGCACCCGGGUGGUUGACCACAUCACCUCGGUCUGAUAGGCACAGUACAGCCAGGCGACAUGAAGACCGACACAGAGAGAGAGGGUGAACAUAUGAAAUUGUGGGAGGGAUGGGAGAAAAUGGGCCGAUGGAAUACCACUUUGUGGGUGAAGGUGCGGGAGAUAGGGGACGAGAGUGUGCAAAAUUACAGCAAGAAGUAAAGUUGACACCUCCUGGUGUUUUUACCCAGCGCUAAGAGCACAGAAACAUCCCAACAAGCCUAUGUUGGUGUUUAUCCUCCACAUGAACUGUUUCCUACCCUCGCAUCAUCUCACCCUAUCAACAUAUCCUUCCAUUCCUUUCCCCCUCAAAUGCAAUCAAAUAUCCAACCAAAACUUGCAUAGGAAGAUCAUUGAACGAUACAGAGCAAAAGGAGACUAUUCGGCCCAUCGUGACUGUGCUGCCUUUUUGAAAGAGCUAUUCAAUUAGUGCCACUCCCCUGCCCUUUCCCUAUGAUUCAAACGAUAUCUUUACAAUCAUUUAUCUAUUUCCCUUUUGCUGCUUCCACCACCUUUUCAGGCAGAACAUUCCACAUCAUGGUAACUCGCUGAGUAAAACAAUUUCCUCUCUUGUUCAUUUGCCCCAUUAUCUUAAAUCAGUGUCUGCUGGUUACUGGCCCUCCUGACACUGGAAAUUGUAUCUCCUUAUUUACUCGAUCAAAUUCAAGAUAAAGUAUGAAGUGCAAAGAACAAACCCAUAAUUUUACAUAUUCCAACCUAAGGCUUGUCAAUGAAGCUUCUGCUGAAAGACUCCCCCCCACCCCUCCAUCUACCCAGCGACCUAGUAUCAGGCUGUGGUUGCUCCUGAAAUCUGGCUCAGGUCCCUUCAGCUGACAGAGACUGGAUGGACUAUGAAACGAACGGGACAAUUGCUGUUUCGCUAAGCACUCAGGGCUCCAAGCAAAGUGAUUGGAUAGAAUCUCAGCCUGACAAUUUACCAGCAACACACAAGAUGAUUCCCCCAUGAGGUGUCAUCGCAGGAGGCAGACAUUUAAACUUCAAACAUCUUAUCCAGCAAAUUCGAUCAUUCACUAAAUGUAACUUACCUCAUUAUCCUGCACAUGACUACAAGCACAUAUUGAGGAGCAAGGGAUAUUGUCCUACAUUUGAGUUAGUUAACAGAUUGAGGAGGAAUAAUGAGAAAGUUUUCAGUCCCGAUAUACAGAUUCUCAAUUUGGCACAACUCUCAUUAAGAUACUUUUUUUAGUUAAACUGACUUUUCAUUGGGUGAGGAAUCCUCCUGUGAGUCAUUGCAAAUUGUGUUUAUUUGGCACCUUUCAUGAGCAAAGCACGGCUUGUGAUCACUGAUCAAUGUUACACACUUGCCUCCUAAACAACCUGCUGGAACUUUUUACUAGAGAGUAAAAUUGAAUGAUGUACAACAAAAUGCUUUACAGGAUGACUGUUGUGCAUUAAAGGAUUGUCCAUAUAAACAGGCCAAUGAUGCAGUUGCUAUCCUAGCUGCAUGAAUACAAUGAAGGCAUGAGACACUACUGAAAAUGGCUAUUUGUAAACUGAGCCAGUACUACAGGGUAGGCUGUCCAAAAGCAGCCAGCACAUACUAAAUACUGGGUAAUUUAGUAGGUUUGUUUCCUACUUGUUCAUAUAUUUAUGCAGAAAAUGAGAGUUGAUGUGUGGACACUUAAUGCUCUUUGUAUAAAGGUACAAAAAUGUUCCAUUUUUUUCAUAAGAAUUUGAUUUUAGUUUAGACGUGUGAAAGAAUGACUAACACAACACAUGCUGGAAUUAAGGAAAUGCUGCAAAAUGAUAGCUCUUGAUGAGGUAAUUGUGAUAAAACUUAAUUUGUUAUUUAAGGAGGUAGUACUUUUUCCUUGUUAUCUAUACUUAUAGGUAGUGUUAAUAAGUUAAUCCUCCAGCUGCUGGCAACUUGCCACGUUUUGCUAAUCCAGGUAACUGCCUAUUCCCUCAUCCCAUAUGCUCUGACUUUAGCCAUGAGCCAUGCAGUACUUUAUCAAAGGCCUUUUGGAAAUCCAAAUACAUUACAUCUACUAUAUCACCCUUAUCUACUCUUUCUGUUACUGCUUCAGAGAAUUCAAUAAGGUUAUUCAAACAUCAAUUUCCCUUUCAAAAACUCUGCUGUUAUUUUUCAGUUUUUAAAUGUUUUCCUAUUGCAUCUUUGAAUGGAGGAUUCCUUUAUCUUUCUUAUCAAUGACAUUAAGCUAAUUAGUCCAUGUACUUCUCUGGCUUGUUCUAUCUGCCUUUAAAAGAUAGGAACUGCAUCAGUUGUCCACCACUCCUUUGGCUACUAUUCCCUAUUCUAAUGAGUUUUUAGAUAUCUAUAAUAGUGUGUCUAUUGUCUCUUCCCUCGUUUUGUGUAAUAUGUGCAGAGGCAAUCUAUCCAAUCCGGGGGUUUUAUGCUCUCUAAGUUUCACUAGUGUAUCGGUUAUCUCCCCCUCCCCACUCACUAUAUUAAAUGUUUUUAUAUCUUUUUUUCAUUUCUCAAGUCAUGUCCACCAUGUUAGUCUCCCUAGUAAAUACAGGGUAAUUACAGGUAACCAUUUCAUGUUGUUACUCAGACGCAGUAGCAACACAGUGGUAUUCUCCACUAACAGGAUGCUGCCGUCAAGCCAAAAAGACAUUCUGCCUCUCACACAAAUGUGUAAUGUGGCAUAUGAAUUUCAGUGCAGUUGUGAUGCCAGGUACGUAGGCUGUAUGUCCCAAUGACUGGUGGAUUGCAUCAAGCAGCAAGUACCUUUGGCUGUUCACAACAGGCCAUACUCAACCAGCCUAUGCUUGCAAAACUCAAAACAGUGUUCGACAUUAGGUGUGAUUCAGCAAUUGGACAGCACUUGCUAAACAAUCCUGACUGUGCUGGGAAUCACACUGAAAAUCAAUUUAAGAUUAUUAGUUGAGCUUGCAGUGUGGCUCACUUACACAUGCUAGAAGCUACAUAUAUUCACAAACAUGGCUCUGUCCUUUGCAGACAGAAGGAUCAUAUCCACACAUUGCACCUUUUUCAAUGAAACAAAACCUUGAGGACAGCCACUCCCUGGUUCAUUCCCCAUAGCAAUGCCUUGACCAAUCGGAGUCACCCUGCCUGGUUUGAGUUUGAACAGAAGCCUGGCAGUUAACUGUUCACUGCUGCAUUCUCCAUGCUAAUGCCUCUACCAAUUAGAGUGCACUUGGCGACCAACUCUCUUCUCAUGCAGUAUAAAUUGUUGUUCUCUUUACUGUUGAUUAUCUUGCGAUCUGUCAUGAUGAGUGCAAGACAAAAAGCUUAGACAACAUGUCUCUUUUUUCAGCAUUAGAGUCAUAGAGGUCUACAG